This is a non-coding RNA of Peromyscus maniculatus bairdii (prairie deer mouse), 225 nucleotides long. Lineage: Eukaryota; Metazoa; Chordata; Mammalia; Rodentia; Cricetidae. The record is from RefSeq and is a predicted model, not a curated record.
AUGUAGACCAUUGACAGCGAACUUCUGCCCUCCAUUUGUGCUCCCUUCGCUCGGACAUGGUGAACGGGUAUUGGUAAUGCGGUCAUUACCGCUACAAAUGAAGGUUCCUACCGAGAUCUGGGAAAGAAGGACCAGCUGACGGACACUCUUGGAAGGCCGGCCGGCAUUUUACAGCCCUUCGCUCGGACAUGGUGAACGGGUAUUGGUAAUGCGGGCAUUACCGCU